This 761-nucleotide ribosomal RNA is filed under the name Klebsiella oxytoca. RNAcentral's name for it is "bacterial SSU rRNA". It matches the Rfam family "Bacterial small subunit ribosomal RNA", at positions 771 to 1532 of the family's 1533-position model. The record is from RNAcentral. Lineage: Bacteria; Pseudomonadati; Pseudomonadota; Gammaproteobacteria; Enterobacterales; Enterobacteriaceae.
AACAGGAUUAGAUACCCUGGUAGUCCACGCUGUAAACGAUGUCGACUUGGAGGUUGUUCCCUUGAGGAGUGGCUUCCGGAGCUAACGCGUUAAGUCGACCGCCUGGGGAGUACGGCCGCAAGGUUAAAACUCAAAUGAAUUGACGGGGGCCCGCACAAGCGGUGGAGCAUGUGGUUUAAUUCGAUGCAACGCGAAGAACCUUACCUACUCUUGACAUCCACAGAACUUAGCAGAGAUGCUUUGGUGCCUUCGGGAACUGUGAGACAGGUGCUGCAUGGCUGUCGUCAGCUCGUGUUGUGAAAUGUUGGGUUAAGUCCCGCAACGAGCGCAACCCUUAUCCUUUGUUGCCAGCGGUCCGGCCGGGAACUCAAAGGAGACUGCCAGUGAUAAACUGGAGGAAGGUGGGGAUGACGUCAAGUCAUCAUGGCCCUUACGAGUAGGGCUACACACGUGCUACAAUGGCAUAUACAAAGAGAAGCGACCUCGCGAGAGCAAGCGGACCUCAUAAAGUAUGUCGUAGUCCGGAUUGGAGUCUGCAACUCGACUCCAUGAAGUCGGAAUCGCUAGUAAUCGUGGAUCAGAAUGCCACGGUGAAUACGUUCCCGGGCCUUGUACACACCGCCCGUCACACCAUGGGAGUGGGUUGCAAAAGAAGUAGGUAGCUUAACCUUCGGGAGGGCGCUUACCACUUUGUGAUUCAUGACUGGGGUGAAGUCGUAACAAGGUAACCGUAGGGGAACCUGCGGCUGGACCACCUCCUU